RNAcentral lists this ribosomal RNA (301 nucleotides) under uncultured bacterium. Its description in RNAcentral is "partial 16S ribosomal RNA". It matches the Rfam family "Bacterial small subunit ribosomal RNA", at positions 509 to 808 of the family's 1533-position model. The record is from RNAcentral.
CAGUCGCCACGGUAAUACGUAGGUCCCGAGCGUUGUCCGGAUUUAUUGGGCGUAAAGCGAGCGCAGGCGGUUAGAUAAGUCUGAAGUUAAAGGCUGCGGCUUAACCAUAGUACGCUUUGGAAACUGUUUAACUUGAGUGCAAGAGGGGAGAGUGGAAUUCCAUGUGUAGCGGUGAAAUGCGUAGAUAUAUGGAGGAACACCGGUGGCGAAAGCGGCUCUCUGGCUUGUAACUGACGCUGAGGCUCGAAAGCGUGGGGAGCAAACAGGAUUAGAUACCCGAGUAGUCCCUGUCUCUUAUACA